Molecule: ribosomal RNA, 999 nt
Filed under: Escherichia coli
Lineage: Bacteria; Pseudomonadati; Pseudomonadota; Gammaproteobacteria; Enterobacterales; Enterobacteriaceae
Description: partial 23S ribosomal RNA
Rfam family: Bacterial large subunit ribosomal RNA
Source: RNAcentral
GGGGAACUGAAACAUCUAAGUACCCCGAGGAAAAGAAAUCAACCGAGAUUCCCCCAGUAGCGGCGAGCGAACGGGGAGCAGCCCAGAGCCUGAAUCAGUGUGUGUGUUAGUGGAAGCGUCUGGAAAGGCGCGCGAUACAGGGUGACAGCCCCGUACACAAAAAUGCACAUGCUGUGAGCUCGAUGAGUAGGGCGGGACACGUGGUAUCCUGUCUGAAUAUGGGGGGACCAUCCUCCAAGGCUAAAUACUCCUGACUGACCGAUAGUGAACCAGUACCGUGAGGGAAAGGCGAAAAGAACCCCGGCGAGGGGAGUGAAAAAGAACCUGAAACCGUGUACGUACAAGCAGUGGGAGCCUCUUUAUGGGGUGACUGCGUACCUUUUGUAUAAUGGGUCAGCGACUUAUAUUCUGUAGCAAGGUUAACCGAAUAGGGGAGCCGAAGGGAAACCGAGUCUUAACUGGGCGUUAAGUUGCAGGGUAUAGACCCGAAACCCGGUGAUCUAGCCAUGGGCAGGUUGAAGGUUGGGUAACACUAACUGGAGGACCGAACCGACUAAUGUUGAAAAAUUAGCGGAUGACUUGUGGCUGGGGGUGAAAGGCCAAUCAAACCGGGAGAUAGCUGGUUCUCCCCGAAAGCUAUUUAGGUAGCGCCUCGUGAAUUCAUCUCCGGGGGUAGAGCACUGUUUCGGCAAGGGGGUCAUCCCGACUUACCAACCCGAUGCAAACUGCGAAUACCGGAGAAUGUUAUCACGGGAGACACACGGCGGGUGCUAACGUCCGUCGUGAAGAGGGAAACAACCCAGACCGCCAGCUAAGGUCCCAAAGUCAUGGUUAAGUGGGAAACGAUGUGGGAAGGCCCAGACAGCCAGGAUGUUGGCUUAGAAGCAGCCAUCAUUUAAAGAAAGCGUAAUAGCUCACUGGUCGAGUCGGCCUGCGCGGAAGAUGUAACGGGGCUAAACCAUGCACCGAAGCUGCGGCAGCGACGCUUAUGCGUUGUUG